This 191-nucleotide microRNA precursor is filed under the name Oryza sativa Japonica Group (Japanese rice). RNAcentral's name for it is "MIR812 microRNA precursor family". It matches the Rfam family "MIR812 microRNA precursor family". The record is from Rfam by way of RNAcentral. Lineage: Eukaryota; Viridiplantae; Streptophyta; Magnoliopsida; Poales; Poaceae.
AAUAAGUAUAAUUAUAUACUGUCUAUAUCCAACGUUUAACGAUUCGUCUUAUUUAAAAAAAUUAUGAUUAGUAUUUUUUAUUGUUAUUAGAUGAUAAAACAUAAAUAGUUCUUUAUGUGUGAUAUUUUUUAUUUUUUUAUAAUUUUUUUAAAUAAAACGAACGAUCAAAUAUUGGACAAGAUGCACUUAUU